GGGAAAUUGAUGUCUUAUGGUACAUUCUCCAAAGGGAGAUUUCUCCUCAAAACUUUUGGACACUGCCAUCGCAUGAGCCAUCUUGUCGCCAGCAGAUUGAGCCGAACUUCCAAGGGGCGCAGAUACUAGCCACAAUUUACAGACUCUGGAGAUUUAUAGCAGAUUGUUGCAAUAAGGAGCUGCAGUAACACUGGUGCCCACGCCGUGUAUUACUACACUGCAUUCCUUUAAGAAAGUGCACUGUCAUGUUAGAGUUGUUCCAUGAACAGA
RNAcentral lists this unclassified non-coding RNA (270 nucleotides) under Hevea brasiliensis (rubber tree). Lineage: Eukaryota; Viridiplantae; Streptophyta; Magnoliopsida; Malpighiales; Euphorbiaceae. The record is from RNAcentral.